CCUCGGGUGGCAGCAGUAGGGAAUCUUAGACAAUGGGGGAAACCCUGAUCUAGCCAUGCCGCGUGAGUGAUGAAGGCCUUAGGGUUGUAAAGCUCUUUCGCUGGGGAAGAUAAUGACGGUACCCAGUAAAGAAACCCCGGCUAACUCCGUGCCAGCAGCCGCGGUAAUACGGAGGGGGUUAGCGUUGUUCGGAAUUACUGGGCGUAAAGCGCGCGUAGGCGGGCUAUUAAGUCAGGGGUGAAAUCCCGGGGCUCAACCCCGGAACUGCCUUUGAUACUGGUAGUCUUGAGUUCGAGAGAGGUGAGUGGAAUUCCGAGUGUAGAGGUGAAAUUCGUAGAUAUUCGGAGGAACAUCAGUGGCGAAGGCGACUCACUGGCUCGAUACUGACGCUGAGGUGCGAAAGUGUGGGGAGCAAACAGGAUUAGAUACCCUUGUAGUC
Molecule: ribosomal RNA, 439 nt
Filed under: uncultured bacterium
Lineage: Bacteria
Description: partial 16S ribosomal RNA
Rfam family: Bacterial small subunit ribosomal RNA
Source: RNAcentral